RNAcentral lists this ribosomal RNA (253 nucleotides) under uncultured bacterium. Its description in RNAcentral is "partial 16S ribosomal RNA". It matches the Rfam family "Bacterial small subunit ribosomal RNA", at positions 524 to 776 of the family's 1533-position model. The record is from RNAcentral.
UACGGAGGGUGCAAGCGUUAAUCGGAAUUACUGGGCGUAAAGGGUGCGUAGGCGGUUGUUUAAGUCUGUUGUGAAAUCCCCGGGCUCAACCUGGGAAUGGCAAUGGAUACUGGGCAGCUAGAGUGUGUCAGAGGAUGGUGGAAUUCCCGGUGUAGCGGUGAAAUGCGUAGAUAUCGGAAGGAACAUCAGUGGCGAAGGCAGCACUCUGGGACGUGACUGACGCUGAGACGCGAAAGCUAGGGGAGCAAACGGG